RNAcentral lists this ribosomal RNA (323 nucleotides) under uncultured Euglyphida. RNAcentral describes it as "SSU rRNA". The stretch from base 55 to 323 matches the Rfam family "Eukaryotic small subunit ribosomal RNA", at positions 685 to 955 of the family's 1831-position model. The record is from RNAcentral. Lineage: Eukaryota; Cercozoa; Imbricatea; Euglyphida.
GAUUUCUGGUAGAUCAUUCUGGCCCGCGUCUUUCGGGACGUGAGAGCUGGCGUGUUUUUACCAUCCUUCUAGAGUGCUAUGUCUACUCUUUACUGAGCUGGGCAUAUGUGUUCUAGAUCGUUUACUUUGAAAAAAUUAGAGUGUUUAAAGCAGGCUUACGCUGUGAAUACAUUAGCAUGGAAUAAUGAUAUAGGACUUCGGUCUUAUUUUGUUGGUUUCUGGGGCUGAAGUAAUGAUUGAUAGGGAUAGUUGGGGGUGCUAGUAUUCCGUGGCCAGAGGUGAAAUUCUUGGAUUCACGGAAGACUAACUACUGCGAAAGCAUU